RNAcentral lists this ribosomal RNA (301 nucleotides) under uncultured bacterium. Its description in RNAcentral is "partial 16S ribosomal RNA". It matches the Rfam family "Bacterial small subunit ribosomal RNA", at positions 509 to 808 of the family's 1533-position model. The record is from RNAcentral.
CAGCAGCCGCGGUAAUACGUAGGGGGCAAGCGUUAUCCGGAGUUAUUGGGCGUAAAGAGUGCGUAGGUGGUUACCUAAGCGCAAGGUUUAAUUUAGAGGCUCAACCUCUACUUGCCUUGCGAACUGGGCUACUUGAGUGCAGGAGGGGAAAGCGGAAUUCCUAGUGUAGCGGUGAAAUGCGUAGAUAUUAGGAGGAAUACCAGUGGCGAAGGCGACUUUCUGGACUGCAACUGACACUGAGGCACGAAAGCGUGGGGAGCAAACAGGAUUAGAUACCCCCGUAGUCCCUGUCUCUUAUACA